Molecule: long non-coding RNA, 216 nt
Filed under: Mytilus galloprovincialis (Mediterranean mussel)
Lineage: Eukaryota; Metazoa; Mollusca; Bivalvia; Mytilida; Mytilidae
Source: RNAcentral
GUAUAAACAUGAACAACAAACAACAAACAACAGGGGGCCCUAUAGAACGUCAUAUAGUAGAUAUAUAAUGUUGAGAAAACAGGAGAUCCUGAAGACCGCCCAAGGGAUCAUAAAAGCCUUAUAGUAUAUACAUGAAAAACAAACUACAGGGGGACUUAUAGAAUUUCCUUUCUCAGAUGCAUAAUUUUUAACAAAAGAGGAUCCUGUAGACCGCCC